UUCGAUUCCAUUUGAGGAUAAUUCCAUUUGAGUCCAUUCGAUGAUUGUUCCAUUCGAUUCUAUUCGGUGAUUCCAUUCGAUUCCAUUUGAUAAUGAUUCCAUUCGAGACCAUUCGAUGAUUCCAUUCAAUUCCAUUCAAUAAUGAUUCCUUUCGAGUCCAUUCAAUGAUUCCAUUCAAGUCCAUUCGAUGAUCCCAUCUGAUUCCAUUCAAUGAAUCCAUUCGAUUCCAUUCAGUGAUGAUUCCAUUCAUUUCCAUCUGAUGAUGAUUCCAUUCGAUUCCAUUCAAUGAUGCCAUUCGAUUCCAUUUGAUGAUGAUUUCAAUCAAUUUCAUUCGAUGAUUCCAUUCGAAUCCAUUCGAUGAUGAGUCCAUCCAUUUCAAUUUCAUGAUAAUUCCAUUCGUUUCAAUUCGAUGGUGUUUCCAUUCGAUUCC
RNAcentral lists this long non-coding RNA (430 nucleotides) under Homo sapiens (human). Its description in RNAcentral is "HSALNT0161626". Lineage: Eukaryota; Metazoa; Chordata; Mammalia; Primates; Hominidae. The record is from RNAcentral.